RNAcentral lists this ribosomal RNA (451 nucleotides) under uncultured bacterium. RNAcentral describes it as "partial 16S ribosomal RNA". It matches the Rfam family "Bacterial small subunit ribosomal RNA", at positions 354 to 796 of the family's 1533-position model. The record is from RNAcentral.
GUGGGGAAUAUUGGACAAUGGGGGGAACCCUGAUCCAGCCAUGCCGCGUGUGUGAAGAAGGCCUUUUGGUUGUAAAGCACUUUAAGCGAGGAGGAGGCUACCGAGAUUAAUACUCUUGGAUAGUGGACGUUACUCGCAGAAUAAGCACCGGCUAACUCUGUGCCAGCAGCCGCGGUAAUACAGAGGGUGCAAGCGUUAAUCGGAUUUACUGGGCGUAAAGCGCGCGUAGGUGGCCAAUUAAGUCAAAUGUGAAAUCCCCGAGCUUAACUUGGGAAUUGCAUUCGUUACUGGUUGGCUAGAGUAUGGGAGAGGAUGGUAGAAUUCCAGGUGUAGCGGUGAAAUGCGUAGAGAUCUGGAGGAAUACCGAUGGCGAAGGCAGCCAUCUGGCCUAAUACUGACACUGAGGUGCGAAAGCAUGGGGAGCAAACAGGAUUAGAUACCCCAGUAGUCC